RNAcentral lists this small RNA (32 nucleotides) under Bombyx mori (domestic silkworm). Its description in RNAcentral is "ovarian small RNA-22414". The record is from RNAcentral. Lineage: Eukaryota; Metazoa; Arthropoda; Insecta; Lepidoptera; Bombycidae.
UAGCGAGCGGCCGCCAACGCCUUAUUGGCGUG